GCAAAACGCGAAGAACCUUACCCACCUUUGACAUGUACGGAAUCCUUUAGAGAUAGAGGAGUGCUCGAAAGAGAGCCGUAACACAGGUGCUGCAUGGCUGUCGUCAGCUCGUGUCGUGAGAUGUUGGGUUAAGUCCCGCAACGAGCGCAACCCUUGCCAUUAGUUGCUACAUUUAGUUGAGCACUCUAAUGGGACUGCCGGUGACAAACCGGAGGAAGGUGGGGAUGACGUCAAGUCCUCAUGGCCCUUAUAGGUGGGGCUACACACGUCAUACAAUGGCUGGUACAAAGGGUUGCCAACCCGCGAGGGGGAGCUAAUCCCAUAAAGCCAGUCGUAGUCCGGAUCGCAGUCUGCAACUCGACUGCAUGAAGUCGGAAUCGCUAGUAAUCGCGGAUCAGAAUGCCGCGGUGAAUACGUUCCCGGGUCUUGUACACACCG
RNAcentral lists this ribosomal RNA (438 nucleotides) under uncultured bacterium. RNAcentral describes it as "bacterial SSU rRNA". It matches the Rfam family "Bacterial small subunit ribosomal RNA", at positions 954 to 1392 of the family's 1533-position model. The record is from RNAcentral.